Salvia hispanica is the source of this 117-nucleotide small nuclear RNA. RefSeq annotates it as U5 spliceosomal RNA. The record is from RefSeq and is a predicted model, not a curated record. Lineage: Eukaryota; Viridiplantae; Streptophyta; Magnoliopsida; Lamiales; Lamiaceae.
CAGCCGUGCGUUGAGCAGAUAGCGAACUAUUCUUUCACCUUUUAUUAAAGUAUACUGUGUGCUCGCUGUUUAAAAGUAGCAUACACCAUUUUUUGGAGGUGUGUUCCUGUACGGGAU